AGUGAACGCUGGCGGUAGGCCUAACACAUGCAAGUCGAACGGCAGCACAGUAAGAGCUUGCUCUUACGGGUGGCGAGUGGCGGACGGGUGAGGAAUACAUCGGAAUCUACUUUUUCGUGGGGGAUAACGUAGGGAAACUUACGCUAAUACCGCAUACGACCUACGGGUGAAAGCAUGGGAUCUUCGGACCUUGCGCGAUUGAAUGAGCCGAUGUCGGAUUAGCUAGUUGGCGGGGUAAAGGCCCACCAAGGCGACGAUCCGUAGCUGGUCUGAGAGGAUGAUAAGCCACACUGGAACUGGGACACGGUCCAGACUCCUACGGGAGGCAGCAGUGGGGAAUAUUGGACAAUGGGCGCAAGCCUGAUCCAGCCAUACCGCGUGGGUGAAGAAGGCCUUCGGGUUGUAAAGCCCUUUUGUUGGGAAAGAAAAGCAGCAGGUUAAUACCCCGCUGUUCUGACGGUACCCAAAGAAUAAGCACCGGCUAACUUCGUG
RNAcentral lists this ribosomal RNA (492 nucleotides) under uncultured bacterium. Its description in RNAcentral is "partial 16S ribosomal RNA". It matches the Rfam family "Bacterial small subunit ribosomal RNA", at positions 29 to 507 of the family's 1533-position model. The record is from RNAcentral.